UACAGAUGGGGCAAGCGUUGUUCGGAAUUACUGGGCGUAAAGGGCGCGUAGGCGGCCUGUUAAGUCGAACGUGAAAUCCCCGGGCUCAACCCGGGAACUGCGUCCGAAACUGGCAGGCUCGAAUCCGGGAGAGGGAUGCGGAAUUCCAGGUGUAGCGGUGAAAUGCGUAGAUAUCGGGAGGAACAUCAGUGGCGAAGGCGGCCUUCUGGUCCAGUACUGACACUCAAGUGCGAAAGCGUGGGGAGCAAACAGG
This 253-nucleotide ribosomal RNA is filed under the name uncultured bacterium. RNAcentral's name for it is "partial 16S ribosomal RNA". It matches the Rfam family "Bacterial small subunit ribosomal RNA", at positions 524 to 776 of the family's 1533-position model. The record is from RNAcentral.